GGGGGCACGUGCACGCUCUGUUUACACAUCCACUCACACCUGUGCACCCUCUGUAGUUCUAUGGCCUUGGAGACUCUGUCCCCUUGCUGUGGUCCUACGUCUUUACACACACACACCACAAUAAAGUCUUAUGGAAUGUAUGCCGCGUUUAACGCAAUACAAUACAACUUUCAGCAACGGAUCUCUUGGCUCUCGCAUCGAUGAAGAACGCAGCGAAAUGCGAUAAGUAAUGUGAAUUGCAGAAUUCAGUGAAUCAUCGAAUCUUUGAACGCACCUUGCGCCCUUUGGCUAUUCUGAAGGGCAUGCCUGUUUGAGUAUCAUGAACACCUCAACUCUCAUGGUCCAUCCAUGAUGAGCUUGGACUUUGGGGGUCUUGCUGGCCUAGCGUCGGCUCCUCUCAAAUGGAUCAGCUUGCCAGUGUCUGGUGGCAUCACGGGUGUGAUAACUAUCUACGCUUGUGGUUUCCUGCCGAUAU
This 475-nucleotide ribosomal RNA is filed under the name uncultured Tomentella. RNAcentral describes it as "eukaryotic LSU rRNA". The stretch from base 166 to 320 matches the Rfam family "5.8S ribosomal RNA". Lineage: Eukaryota; Fungi; Basidiomycota; Agaricomycetes; Thelephorales; Thelephoraceae. The record is from RNAcentral.